This 4978-nucleotide long non-coding RNA is filed under the name Sus scrofa (pig). Its description in RNAcentral is "lncRNA (ENSSSCG00025055068.1)". The record is from RNAcentral. Lineage: Eukaryota; Metazoa; Chordata; Mammalia; Artiodactyla; Suidae.
AGACCAAAGAUCCCGCCGGGGAUGGAGCCGCUGCCUCCUCUUGCCUUUGCACCUCGGUGGCUGGGGUGACUCGUUCUCCCCGGCGGCCUCUUGAGGAUGAGGUGCAGUCUCUUCCCAGGCUCCACGAGUUUUCGGGGCUCAAAGAAACACCAGCAGCGUCCCGGGAGGAGAAAGAGGGUCCCCCGUCCUUUGGGGCCGCGCGGGACCCGGCUGCGGGGGCUGGACUCCCCGCUACCCAUUUCCGAAAAGUCGCCGCAGAUUUUCGGCCACCAGAAGCCGCCUAGUGCAAGGGAGGACACACAGCUGAAGACCCAGCAGGGUGGGAGAUUUCACACGGACUUCUCCAGCUGGACUGUGAGGAGAAACCACACCCUGGAUGUCUGCUGAAGGAAGAAUGAAAAGGUAGUUUAUUUCCCUGGUUCCCUGAUGUCCCCAUUUUUCAUGAGUCAAAUUCUCCCUUUUGGGGAGCUUUCUUUCGAUUUGGGUUGAUCUGAGUCCAGGCUUUUUAGGAUGCUAAAUUCCAUACUUGGUGGGCUGGUGUUUCACCCAGGACUGAAAGUGGCAUUCUCUCCCAACAAGAAGAAAUGAGGGUACUCGAGGGCAUCUAAGAUGAUGCAUAAUUUUAUAUUUUCAAACUCAUUUACUGGUUUUGCCACUCAGAUCUACUCAAACCUUCCCAGUGUAUUCAGCUCCCAACCACAAUGUUUCUUUCUUGGGAACAAAGUGGUCCUCAAUCUUUGCCUGUCAGAAGUAGUUCAGGUCUAACUAGCCCCAGAUUCUUCAAGGCAGCUCAUCAUGAUUUCCAAGUAGAAGAAAGCAAGAGUUAAAUCAAGUAACAUUCCCCAGCUCUGGCUGCUUUCAAGGCAGUCAAACAGUUCCUUGAUGCUGCCACCAGGUGGAGCCAUUGAACCAAGUCGGAUUCCUCAUGCCCUGAGUAGGGAUGGUGGAUACAUAGUGUAAGUUACAACUGCCAUAAGAAAACUUUGAACAGUGUUUCCAAAUAAAAGGUAUACUAAUUAACAAAGUGUUCUUAAGAAAGUACCUACUUAGAAAAUCUUUAGAUUUUUGUGUUGGGGUGAUUUGGAAACAAAAUAUAUUUUAUUGAGAACAAAUUAUUUCUUUUCAUAUCAUUUCAACAACACUUCUUAAAAGAUUAUGUGCCCUUCCCUGUGCUGGACUCUGAAGCUACAAGGACAAGUAAGAUGCAAAGGCAGUCAUAAGCCAGUAGAGAAGAAAACACACACAAAUAUAAAUAUUUUGUCUUUUUAGGGCCUCACCCGCAGCACAUGGAGGUUCCCAUGCUAUGGGUUGAAUUGGAGCUAUAGCUACUGCCACUUAAUUGACAAGACUAGUGCUGUCUAAUGGAACUUUCUGAGAUGGUGAAGAUAUUCUGCAUCUGCACCAUGUGAGACUGUGGCCACUAGCCAUAUGUGGCCAGUGAGUGCUUGAAAUGUGGGUAGUGUGAUAGAGGAACUAGAUUUUAAAUUCUGUUUAGGUCAGAUUUAAAUAGUUGCGUGUGGCUAGUGGCUACUAUACUGGGCAGCCAGAUCUGGUUAGGAGCUAUUACCUUGUGGAAGAGAGAGAUUAUGUUAGAAAAAUCAGCAGAGACUUUCGUGCCUCUGUGUGUGGGGGGGACCAGGGUACCGAGGAAUGGUAACUGGAAGAAAGGUACAGGCUAGAUAGCACAUAGGAGGGUGAGGUCCCUGGCAGGGAGGGGGCUGUGGUGUUUGGUGGCAGGGGAGUGGGGGCUGUCACUGUGAUUGGAGGUGAGACUUCUGACCCAGCAUCUGGAGCCUUGUCGGUGCCUAAUUAUGUCCAGUCCCCAUUCAAGUUUGCUCACACUUUGCCUGUGCAGAGAUACUGUGAUGACAGGUCUGUCUCUUGUGAGCCCACUGACAGCCAGCUUGUCCCCCUUGACUGUCCAGCUGCAGAGCCAUUGUUCUGUGCCCUCAUAUUUUGCUUAGCAACAAUCUGACCCACCCCCAUGUGGACAAUAUAAUAAACAACAUAUGACAUGGAUGACAAAAGCCAACCUUACUACUUAAAAUAUGAGUGCAAAUUUAAACAUUUAAAUUAAAACUUAAAAACAUUAGACUUGGAGUUCCCAUCAUGGCAUAGCAGAAAUGAAUCCACCUAGGAGCCACGAGGUUGCGGGUUCGAUCCCCAGACUCCCUCAGUGGGUUAAGGAUCUGGCAUUGCCCUGAGCUGUGUUGUAGGUCACAGACAUGGCUCGGAUAUCGGAUGUGGUGUAGGCUGGCACCUGUAGCUCCGAUUAGACCCUUAACUUGGGAACCUCCAUAUGCCGUGGGUGCUGCUCUGAAAUGACGACAGACCAAAAAAGAAAAACCUCAAAAAACAUUAGACUUGAGUUUUUUUUUAUUUAUUACCCUUAGGACAAUCCCUUGUGUUAAGUGGGCUUUGGUUUCCCCCUCUGUGAUCUGUUUCUAGUUUCCCUGGGUAGAUUUCUUUGCUUUAUAAAAUUCUAAAAUGAACACAAGUUGAAACAUACCAGGUCCCCUUUCCUGCAGGCCCUUUGCUACGGAGCUGGUCGGGUGACUAAUGCUUCUGCUUCCUGUUAUUGUCUGAAAAGGGUAUGUGAAAUCUUGGCUUUUAGCCAUUAUUCAGAGACCGGUUAAGUGCACACGUCCCUGGAAAUCCCCAAGUGAAACUGCAGUGAAGGGACUUAAUAUGUUACAAGUGGAAGAGGUGGUCAGUUCCUGAGAGGGAGACUUGCGGCCUGGGAAUUCAUUUCUCCCAGGAAGCUACCUUCCAAGUGCCCACCUUCACCUGAGGACAGUCCUCCAGUCAGUCACGUGCCCUCUGUACAUUCACUCAUGUCGCAAACACUUAUCGAGCACCUACUUGGUGCUGGGUGUGUAGGAUUUCACAGUUUAAUAUUUCUCUGCCCUCAUGGAGCUUGUAUGCCAGCAGGGGAGAAAGAACAAUAAGUAAAUACAUCUGUAAUAUGUCAGGAAAAGGAAGAAGGAGUUUAAAACAUGUAAAUGUGAUGGACGGCAAGGAGACCUCAGAAAUGGGUGGUGAUUUAAGAGAGGAGUCAGGAAGGAAUUCUCUUGUGCUACAGUAGGUUGAGGAUCUGGAAUGGUCACUGUAGCGGCUCGGGUUGCUGCUGUGGUGUGGAUUUGAUCCUGGCCCAGGAACUUCUACCUCUGCAGGUGCUGUCAAAAAGAGUCAGGAAACGUCUCUCUGGGAAGGUGAGGUUUGAGCAGACUGGAAUGAUGGGAGAGUAUGAAACCUGUGAGUGUCUGGGGAGAAGGAUGUUCCAUACAGAAUGACCAACCAACACAAGAGUGAGCUUGGCCCAUUCUAGGAAAAUCACGCAGGACAAUUGGACCAAACUGAAGAGAAUGAGGCAGGGAGUGAAAGGAGAUGCAACUGGAGAGGUGGGUACGAGCUGGACGUCUUAGACCUUACGGGAUCUGGUAAGGAGUUCGGGUUUUUUCCCAAGUCUUAUGAGAGGCUGUUGAAGCAGGGAUGAGACAGAUCUGAUUUAUGCUUUAGGAGGAGCAUUCUGGUUGCUAUCUGGAAACCCUGAUCACUGAGGAACUGAGGAGUGAAGAAGGAAUUGGGGAGUCCAAGUGCAAGACUGUUGCAGGGAUGUAGGUGAGUAGUGGUGGUUGCUUUGGUCUAGGUGGUAGCAGUGGAAAUGGUGAAAGGUAGUGGGUUUGAAAUAAAUUUGGAAUCCAGUUGGGUGAAUUGGAUAUGGGUUGUAAAGAGAAGAGUAAAAGUCUUCUAUGUUUUAUUUUUAUUAUUGUUUUCUUUUUUAGCCACCCCGUGGCAUAUGGAGUUCCUGGCCAGGGAUCAGAUCUGAGUCACCUUUGCAACCUACACCAUGGCUGCGGCAAUGCUGGAUCCUUAACCCACUGUGCCGGGCCAGGGAUCAAACCUGUGUCCCAGUGCUGCAGAGACACUGCCAAUCCCAUUGCAGUGGGAACUCCAGAAAAAGUGUCCUGUGUUUUGAGUCUGAUAAACCAGGUGAAUAUUUACAGGAACGAGGAAGGCUGGAGGGAGGGCUGACGAGGGUGAGGGGUUCACCAAGCAUAGAUGGCUAGAGAUGAUGGGAAUUGAGGGGACAGGUCAGGGAUCAAGAUGUGGAGUUGAGAUUCUUAAGUGUCUAGAUGUAUUUAAAGGCCUGGAUUUGAGUAAGAUCAUCCUUAGGGAGAAAAGUAGAUACAUGAGAGAGUUGAAGACUGAGCCCUGAGAUGUUGGAAGGAGGAGGAAGGGUCAUCCAUAGAGAUGGGGAAGAGACUUGCAGUGAUCUCUGGAGAGUUUUCAAGGAAGGGGUUUGAUUGCUUCAGUAAUACUUCAGUGAUGAUGGAGACCACUGGUGUCUGGACAAAAUCAAGUUCAGGGGCAUAGUAGGGGUGAGCACUUGAUCGGUGUGAAUUGAAACCACAAUGAGAAGUAAGGAAAUGAAGAUAUAAGUAUAAAUAAUUCUUUUUUUCCGGAAGAUUUCAUGUUUUUUUUCUUUCUAAAUUUAAAGUGUAGGUGAUCUAUAAUGUGCCAAUUUCUGCUGUACAGCAAAGUGACCCAGUCAUACAUGUAUGUACUUUCCUUUUCUUAAAAAAUAUGGAAUACUUCACAAAUGUUAUCCCCAUGCUGGGGCCAUGCUAAUCUCUGUAUCGUUCUAAUUUAAGUCUGUGUGCUGCCCAUGGGAGCGUCUAGACAGUUCUAUUUAGAAGUUUUACUAUAGGGGAGUUCCCGUCAUGGCUCAGUGGUUAACAAAUCUGACUAGGAAACAUGAGGUUGUGGGUUUGAUCCCUGGCCGCACCCAGUGGGUUAAGGAUCUGGCGCUGCCAUGAGCUGUGGUGUAGGUCACAGAUUGUGGCUCUGAUCUGGUGUUGCUGUGGCUCUGGCAUAGGCUGGUGGCUACAGCUCCAAUUAGACCCCUAGCCUAGGAACCUCCAUAUGCUGCGGGUACAGCUGUAGAAAAGACAGAGACAAAAAAGAAAAAAAAAAA